UCCCUGGGCUAAAGGUCGAUGGAAUGGAU
Molecule: non-coding RNA, 29 nt
Filed under: Homo sapiens (human)
Lineage: Eukaryota; Metazoa; Chordata; Mammalia; Primates; Hominidae
Source: RNAcentral